Molecule: long non-coding RNA, 3749 nt
Organism: Labrus mixtus (cuckoo wrasse)
Lineage: Eukaryota; Metazoa; Chordata; Actinopteri; Labriformes; Labridae
Exons: 2
Source: RefSeq, a predicted model, not a curated record
UUAACGAGUCCUUAACGAGUCUUUAAUGAGUUCUUAGGGAGUCUUUAAUGAGUCCUUAUGGAGUCUUUAAUGAGUUCUUAACGAGUCCUUAACGAGUCUUUAAUGAGUUCUUAGGGAGUCUUUAACAAGCUCUUUAAGAAUCCUUAAGGAGUCCUUAAGUCCAACAUGCUCUCACUUUAGUCUAAAAAACGGUUGAAGUCAGGAACGAGUCAGCUAGGUAUUAAAGUGACGCAACAUGUGAUGUCACAGCACCCCAUGACAUCACAAACGGUGUGAGACUUUCACCACCAGAGGGCAGCAGAGUUACUCUUUAGAUUUUAAUUUUAAUUUAUUUUGAUAGUUUUAAAAAUAAAUAAAUAUAGAGGCAAUAAACACACAGGUGUCAUUGGGUCAUGUUUACUGUUUUACUUGUUUUCGCCCGUUUGUCUCCAUAAGUCAACAGAAUAAUUUGAUCACAUGUUAAAUAAUCGACUCUUUCCUCUAAUAUUUACUCAUCAGUCAGCGUAACAUUAAACUUCUUGAGCAAAUAUUUCACCUUAAAGUUGUCCAAAAACGUGUGUAGCCAUAAUCCUCAGCAGGCUUUUAAUGUGAAAUAUCUGCAGGAAGUUUAAGAAAGACUAAAAGUAUUAAAGUAUCGUCCUCAUGUCGUCAGUCUGUCAAACCCAUAGAUCAGCUUUGUUUCAGCUGCUGUCUCCCCACAUGCCCACUCUCAUCUGAUUGGCCAGCUCUCUGGAAGCGUUACGGGAGGGGGGGAGGGGGGGGCAGAACGCUGCAGGGCUGCCAGGCGAGGGCUGCUCUCCAGAGCUGGGAGAAGAGAGUCUAUGUAAGAGGUUUCAGAGGCUUAUCUUGGUUUCAUAUCGGGGAACUAUGGCGUGAUUUACAGGACGAGUCGUUUAGCGCCCUCUGCAGACUCAUCCUGGGAUUACUCCAACACACGUUUACCUCCUGAUCUGAAACUUAGCCCACGUUUAGUUUGAACAUCCAGCAUUGUAACACGGCUUUAAAUAAGACUGUAAGACACCAAAUAACCACAGAUCUUUCAUUUCAACAUAUUUAACUUCAAACGUUGCACGAUGUAAUCUUUGUAAUCUUUUCAGCUCUGAAACAGCUUUUGUUGAUUUGUGUCCGCCGAGGCUCUUAUUUUGAAGGCCUCCGCUGUUUGUAGAUCUGUGUGGUCACUUCCUACCUGUCGUUGGCUCUCAGGUGAAUCUUCAGUUCGAUGGACAACAAGUCAAAGCUGCAGCACUUUCUCUGCUUGAUGCACAAAAAUAUUUAUACAGCUUCAGAUAUCAAACAUGUAACCUUGAAUGAAUAAAUAAUAACGAUAUAUUCCUGUCAAGUCACGUUCAGUUUGUUAAAGAACCAAAGGUCAAAGGUCCUGCUGAGAACUCAACGUGCAGCAGCGAGAGCAAGAAGAAAUCACAGUCACAGAGUUUCAUUUAAAAGACUCAUGUUUACUUCUUAUUCAAACAAAAUUAAAAACAGGACAGUUCUGGUGCUUACCGUUUUUAAAUUUAAAAUAAAUAGGUCAGAGAAGUUUUAGAAUUGCUUUCAGUAGAUAGUUCGAGCCUGCAGCUGUGAAACAGGCUGUAAUAUCUUUCUUUCAAGCCACCAAACUUCAUUGAGAAAAAUAGUAAUUUAAGCGAUCACGAGUGGCUGAUGUACCGCUGCGGAGUCACUUUGUUUGUUUGUGUGACUCACAAUAACACAAAUCUGUGCAGCAGUAGAGCAGCAACUCCUGUCCUGUGAGGUCAAAUUUCAGAUUUUAUCGAUGUAGUUGGUCGGUUUGUAGAGAGGGAUGUAACAGCUGUUUGUGUUUUUAAAAAAAAAAUCAUCUUCCUCCAUCCACUCAUCUUUCGCUUAUCUGAGUUUGGGUCGUGGCAGCAGGCGAAAUAAGUAAACCCAGACGUCCGUCUCCCUAACAACGAUCUCCAACUCCUCCUCAGGAUUCUGAGGCAUUCCCCAGGCCAGACGGGAUAUAUAACCCCUCCAGCUAACUCUGGGUCUACCUCUACGUCUCCUCUCAGUUGGAAAACCUCCAAAGGGUUUUCUUUCUUUAAAGGAGCAGUAUGUAACUCUGACCCCUAGUGGUUAAAAUGAGUACUGCAGUCUCUAAACAUCAUAGAGCGCUGUCUCCCCCCCCCCCUCCUCUCUAGAGUCCAUGCUCACUCAGGUCACCAUGUGGUGGACUCUGAAGCUUCAGUGUUUAUCCAGCUCUGCAUGGGUCUGUAAACCUUUCUGUGUUCUAACCUCUCUCCAUUUUUCAAAAGCAUCUCCAAUAUUGAUCCUAGUUUGAGCACGUUUCUGCUCGUGGAGCUUAUUAGAAACAUGCAGAGGCUUUUUAGGUCAGGUACAAUCUCUUCUAUCUGAACCACUUCUCUUGCCCGCUUCCAUCGCUGCAACACCUGUUGACCUGAUAACUGCUCUCAUAUCUGGCAAACCGAGGGGCGUCCAAAACGGGCCGUGUGGGGCGUGUCUUAAAAGCGCCUACCUUCUCUGGUCCAAACAAAUCCAGAGCAUUCAGGAGCAGAAUCUAAAGUUAGAAGGAGGACAUACUGGCUGCUGCAUUGUUGUCAGAGAAGCCAGCACUUCAACAUAGUCGGGGGGCGCAGGUAGACUAGUGGUUAGUGUGCAUGCCCCAUGUAUAUACAGGCUGUAGUCCUCUAAAGUGGGCGGCCUGACCUGUGACCCCUUUACUGCAUGUCGUUCUCCUCUUUCUCUCUCUCUCUCUAACCCCCCCCCCCCCCCCCCGAUUUCUAACUCUAUCCACUGUCCUGUCUCUAAAUAAAGGCUUAAAAAGCCCAAAAAUAAACCUUUAAAAAGAAAAAGUUUAAGAAAUAGAGAGUCCGGUUUUAAGGGAGCAGGUGCUGCGAACGUUGAGCUCUCAGCUGCUCAGGUCUCAUGUUUAACUCUUUGUUCACAUGUUGAUGAAGCUUCAGAGUUUUUCAGGGAAGACUCACUACUUUAGAGAAACUGUGACAUGAGUUUGGUAUGGUUCAGAUUUCUGAGGUUUUCUGUUUCAGUCAAAGCAGAUUUGUACUUUCUUUCCCCUCCUCUACAGUCUGUUACAAACCUGGUUCAUUUCUCCAAAACCAAAAGUAUCGAGGAAAUUGUUGACAUGUUUUCCUGCCUGCUAUGUGAUUGGUUGAUUGGUCAAUCUUUGGACCAAUGAGUGUGAAUCUUCCCUCUGCAGCUUCUUAAAGGUGUGUUCAGACCAGGAGCGAUCGAAGUGGUUCCAAACAGAGACAACAGUUUACCUGAAUCCUGCAAAUGUGAAAGAAAUGCUGGUCCUGAUCCUAACAGGUCAUCAGACUGAGACCUGGUCCUGAUCCUAACAGAUCAUCAGACUGAGACCUGGUCCUGAUCCUAGCUAACAGGUCUUCAGACUGAGACCUGGUCCUGAUCCUAACAGGUCAUCAGACUGAGACCUGGUCCUGAUCCUAGCUAACAGGUCAUCAGACUGAGACCUGGUACUGAUCCUAGCUAACAGAUCAUCAGACUGGGACCUGGUCCUGAUCCUAGCUAACAGGUCAUCAGACUGAGACCUGGUCCUGAUCCUAGCUAACAGGUCAUCAGACUGGGACCUGGUUCUGGUCUGGUCGGGUUCUGAUUCCCUUCUGGUCUGAACACAGUGAAUUGAAUCCUGCUUUUUGUUUUCAUGUCUUUGCGUUAAGUGACUGUAUGUACAGAUAAUACUCACAUGUAAACUGAUAUUUUAGAAAUUAAACAAAUCCUACAGAACCUGAAAA